GAGCCUGAUCCAGCAAUGCCGCGUGUGUGAAGAAGGCCUUCGGGUUGUAAAGCACUUUUGUCCGGAAAGAAAUCCGCCUGGCUAAUACCCGGGCGGGAUGACGGUACCGGAAGAAUAAGCACCGGCUAACUACGUGCCAGCAGCCGCGGUAAUACGUAGGGUGCGAGCGUUAAUCGGAAUUACUGGGCGUAAAGCGUGCGCAGGCGGUUAUGCAAGACAGGUGUGAAAUCCCCGGGCUCAACCUGGGAACUGCACUUGUGACUGCAUGACUAGAGUGCGUCAGAGGGAGGUGGAAUUCCGCGUGUAGCAGUGAAAUGCGUAGAGAUGCGGAGGAACACCGAUGGCGAAGGCAGCCUCCUGGGAUGACACUGACGCUCAUGCACGAAAGCGUGGGGAGCAAACAGGAUUAGAUACCCUGGUAGUCCACGCCCUAAACGAUGUCAACUAGUUGUCGGGGAUUCAUUUCCUUGGUAACGCAGCUAACGCGUGAAGUUGACCGCCUGGGGAGUACGGCCGCAAGGUUAAAACUCAAAGGAAAUUGACGGA
RNAcentral lists this ribosomal RNA (546 nucleotides) under uncultured bacterium. Its description in RNAcentral is "bacterial SSU rRNA". It matches the Rfam family "Bacterial small subunit ribosomal RNA", at positions 379 to 917 of the family's 1533-position model. The record is from RNAcentral.